This 4857-nucleotide long non-coding RNA is filed under the name Mus musculus (house mouse). RNAcentral's name for it is "long non-coding RNA chr2:38500191-38505048". Lineage: Eukaryota; Metazoa; Chordata; Mammalia; Rodentia; Muridae. The record is from RNAcentral.
AAAAUGGAUACAAACACCUGCCUUCCACCUUCCAAGCGCUGUGGACUCUUCUGGCAUGUUCAGUUGUAGGAUCCAAAUCCAGGACCUUAUGAGUGCUAGACAAGUACUCUGUCAACUGAGCCCAGGACGAGUCUCAAAUGGUUUAGUGACACAUCUCUGAUGUGGCAUUCCACACAGAUGAUGAACAAACACUAUUAUGGAAACUUCUGCCCCAAGUAUAUGACCUAGGCUCUGUUCUUCAGAGUGACUGGUGUGGGCCAUGAAGAUAGGUGCAACCAAGGGUUUUAGAGAGAGCACAGUGAAACCAUGACGGUCCCUGGAUACAGGGUGGGUCUGACACAGCUUUCAGUCUGUGUCCCAUCUUCCUAGGAACACAGGCUACCCAUCAGCUCAGGGAAACUCAGGGUUCUUAGUAAUGAGGUGCUCAGUUCCAUCAUUCAGUCUACUUGUUUUACAUGCUGUGUGACUCUGAGUUGGGCAUAAGCCCUCUCUGGGCCCACAGUCUCCUUGCAGUAGCAGGGAGCCUGCCGAGCUCUCCCUUGGAAAUGAGCCAUGUCCCUGGCAGAUUCUCUCCUGCUGACCACCCUGGCUGGGCACAGCAGGAAACCCCAGUGCUUCUGUCUUGGACACACCUGCAUGUAAACCCCAGCUCUGGGGUAUACUGGGUAUUUAACUUUGCAGAGUUGCCAAAUGCUGAGCCUUCCUGUCCUCACUGUCUGGUAAGAUUGGUGCUGUGUAUCCUGAAGGAAAACACUCCAGAGAUGAGACAUAAAAGUGAUAACAUGGGGUCGAACUUCCUCUGAUGCACCGUGUAAAAUCUGAGGUCAGCAGGUGUCAUGGAUUGUUCUCCCAGGGUCCCGUGAACAUUAAAGUGGCUCCGUAAGCAAUAAAUAGCCAUGAGCCUGGCUGUCUGGGCAAGUGGGAAUGGAUGGCCCUGGUAACUGACUUGAAUCUCUGAAAUGAAGUUGGAGAGACAGAUAUGGAGACUGUUGAGGAGAGACAUGAGCGGGUGUGGUGAAUAAGGAGUGUCUCGGGCAGGAGAGCACCUUGUGCCUAGCCUGCUUUUGGAAGCCUUCUGUGAAAUAUGCUGGCUGGCUCUUGUCUACUCUCUCUCCCAGGUAUGACUUUGUGGUAGCUAGGGUCUGCACUGGGGUGGGGUGACUUUGUAGGACCCAUGGCUCUUCUUGUGUUGUUCCUACUUUGGAACAUCCUGCUGAGCCUGGGUUUUGCAGGCUACCAGAAGGGCUUCAUUAAAACUCCCAAGUCAAAAGGCUUUUAGCCUAGAAGUUAAUAGGCUCAGUCGGUGUCUGGGUCCUUGACCAAUGAGAGAGAGUUCUUGUUCUGGGACCCGAUCCACUAUUGUUCCUGGACACCUAAACCAACCAUCUCUUUCUUGCUAUUAAGAUGUCCUGCCUCCCAAACCUCUCCAUGCAGAACUCCUUACCUUUUGAAGCACAUUCAAGAAGACCUCCAGCUUGCACACUGGUUUCUUUCUCUUCCUCCCCAUUGGGGGCUGGGCUGGGCUGCAGCUGGUUGGGGUUGGAGGGCUCUCCCCAGACUUGCUCUGCAAAGCCUCUUAACACAGUUUUAGGCAGAGUCUGCAUUCCUUUACCCUUAAUGCCUCCUCUGAGAACAAGGAGAAACCUGAGCCUUCUACCACUGUUGACCAGAAGAGGUGGGCCGGGCUGGGUAGAGGACCUCAGUUCCUGCCUUCCCUGAGAAUGGAAAUCCAAGGCCUCCCUUCCCUGUUUGGCUGCUAGGGCUUUGAAGUCAGGGAACUAAGCAAUGGCCUUUGUUAAACCCACCUAAAAAGAGGGGGCUGCAAGAGAAAAGAGAUUACCCCACUGAUCAGAAAGGUUCAGCAAUUUUCCUAUACCCAAAGGUCUUUUCACUCAGGUUUCUUCACUGCCCCCUUAGGCUUCUAGGGCCAAUCAGAGGUGUAAGCUUUCUAGUUCAGAGGCAGGAAACAGCUCAAAUCCACGUGGGUUCUGCAGUACCCCUCAACUCUUCAGUUCCUAUGCCCCAGGCACAGCUGGAGUCAUCCAUUGGAUGCUGCACCUCUGUUCUGCUCAGGUGUGGAAUUCCUCCAGGAGCAGUUAUUUGUCCGGUUGAUGUAAGCCCACACUCCGCUCCACACUGGAAUCAGGAGCAGAGGCAGGAGCUAGCGCAUGCAGGGCGUGGCUUCAGUCCUCAGCCCAACCCUUUCUGCUAUAGUUUAGAAAACUGAGUCCUUCCGUAUCUAUUUGUUAAUCUUGAAGAAGGCAGAGUGUUCUGGCUGGUUUUGUGUGUUGACUUCACACAAGCUAGAGUCAUCAGAGAGGAAGGAGCCUCAGUUGAGGAAAUGCCUCCAUGAGAUCCAGCGGUAAGGCAAUUUCUCAAUUAGUGAUCAAUGGGGGAGGGCCCAGCCCAUGGUGGGUGGUGCCAUCCCUGGGCUGGUGAUCCUGGGGUCUAUAAGAAAGCGGGAUGAACAAGGCAUGGGAAGCAAGCCAGUAAGCAGCACCCUCCAUGGUUUCUGCAUCAGCUCCUGCCUCCAGGUUCCUGCCCUGUUUGAUUUCCUGUCCUGAUUUCCUUUGAUGAUUAACACAACAUGGAAGUAUAAGCAAAUAAACUCUCCCCCCAACCCCACAACAUGCUUUUUGUUCAUGAAGUUUCAUCAUAGCAGUAGAAGCCUUAACUAAGACAUAGAGGUUGGGAGGUAGCCACAGAAACUGGCAUUUGGCAAUUCUGGGCAGGUUGGCUACCUUCCUCUGCCCUCGGGGUGCAGGGGGCAGAGGUACCCUACUCUUUCCCUUCAUAAGGGUCACAGUCCAUCUUUCACAAUAGCAGACAGACCAAGAGACAGCGGGACAAAUCUAUAGAGGUAGCUUUUCGCAGAAUAUAAGGCUAAAAGAAUCACACAAGCACUCAGCUUUACAGAUAUCUGAAUUGAUAGGUAAUACUGAGUUAAUCAAAUGAGAUAAACACAGACAAUGAAAGAGACUAGAUUAUGACGUGUACAGACCUUGAUAUUAGUGUUCUUUCCUGCUAUACUUGGGCUUGGUAUUAUUGGGGGUCUGAAAAUGACAUCCUCAAAACAGAGGCCUUAGCCACAAACUACUGAUUGAUGCUCUCUCAACCUCUCUCGAGUGCCGGGGUUACAGGGAUGGGCAUCACACCCAUCAGACAAGGGAAUCUUGAAGGGGGAGAUGGCUUAGUUGUAAAAGUGCUUUCCUUGUCAGUGGGAAGGCCUGAGUUUGAUUCCCUGUGAAAAUGCAAGGUGUGGUGGUGUGUGCUCAUAACAAUUGGAGAGGCAGAAAUAAGAGGAUCUCAGAGGCUCUGGCUAGAUCCUAGCCCAAUUGAUGAGCUCUGGGCCAAGAGCAGAUCCUGUCUCUUGCUCUCCUUUGUCACAGAAGACAAGCUAUGGGAGCUAGAUUCUCUCUACUCCUAAGAGGAUCAUGGGAACCAGAUAGUCCUUUUAACAAUGCCAUCAGAACCUCUCCUGGACACCUUGUCUGAUAGUAAAUCAUACAGUCCUCUCUCCAGAGGCAUCCUGCCCCACACUCAGGAGGAAAGAAAUACUAGGAAAGGCCUACAAGAAUCUAAACCAACAGGCCUAGCUGGUCCAACGCCCUGCAGAUAGACAUUAGCCCCACAUUGACUCUGUCCACUGCCAUCUGAAAGUGGACUUUUAUCUGAGUCCACAUGGUCAUCUAUGCUUCACGAACCUGAGAAUAAAGAAGGGCUUGAGUGGAUAAGAUGGCUCGGCAGGUAAAGAUGCCUGCUACCAAGCCAGAUAACCUGUAUUAGAGCCCCGGGAUACAUAUAUGGCAAAGAGAGAACUGACUCCACAAAGCUGUCUUUUAACAAAAGACAGACAGACAGACAGACAGACACAGAAUAAGUUAAGUAAAUAGUAGCUUGUUCUGGAUCUCUGAGUCUUCCAUCUGAAGGUGUUUAUGUCAUAUAAACCUAGGACAAACACAUUUCCUGUCCUUUUCCCUCAUUUAUCUUCCUCUGCCCUAGGGUAUCAGCUGAGACCCUUUAUGAUAGUCCUGGAAGGGACUGGGAUGUUCUUUCCUGGGGUAGCCUCCCCUGAUCCCAGCCUAUCUCAACCUGGUAAAGAACAUGUUCUCAAUUUCCAGGUCCUGAUGAGGAGUGAAGGAACUGGCUUAAGGUCACAUCACCAGGAACUAGGAAGCUGGGCUCUGAAUUUGCUCCAGAGUCUGGAUUUCUAACUAGACUCUCAGCUCCAGUACUGCCCAGAGGCGCCGUUACAGUAUUAUGGUAUGCAGCUCCAGGCUUCAGGAAGAAUGUGCCGGGCUAAACAGCUGCCUGUCCCAGGGCUCUGCUGAGCAAUUCUGCUUAGAGCCACAGGCUCUGGCUCCCAGCCACACCGGGCUUAGGCUCGCCUCCUCCAUCUUCCGAGGCUCUGAAGCCUUCAGGCUCACCACCUCCUCUUCAGAGUGAGCAUGUACUACCAUAGCCUUUCCAGGGAAGUCACCCCCAAACAGCCAGGUGCCCAGAACACCAAUGGGAUAGGAGAAAGGGUUUUCUGUCGUGAUUAGGGGUUCAACUGAUAGCUUCCCUCUUGGCACAGGGAUGCUGCUUCUGGGCUAAAAGUGGAGAGUGGCAACACCAAGACAACCAUAAGCCCCUUCCUAAUCUGGCCUUUAAGACCCCAGGCCUUGGGCUGGAGAGUUGGCUCAGUGGUUAAGAGCACUUGUUGCUCUUGCAGAGGACUGGGGUUUCAUUUCUAGCACCCACAUGGUAGCCCAUAACUAUCUGUAAUUUCAGUCUCAGGGGAUCUAAUGCUCACUUCUGGCCACCCAGGGAUGACAUGGUGCACAUAUAUCCAUGCAGGCAAAAAUACUCAUACCC